This 482-nucleotide ribosomal RNA is filed under the name uncultured bacterium. Its description in RNAcentral is "partial 16S ribosomal RNA". It matches the Rfam family "Bacterial small subunit ribosomal RNA", at positions 30 to 507 of the family's 1533-position model. The record is from RNAcentral.
AUUGAACGCUGGCGGCAUGCUUUACACAUGCAAGUCGAACGGUAACAGCACUUCGGUGGCUGACGAGUGGCGAACGGGUGAGUAAUACAUCGGAACGUGCCUAGUAGUGGGGGAUAACUACUCGAAAGAGUAGCUAAUACCGCAUGAGAUCUAAGGAUGAAAGCAGGGGACCUUCGGGCCUUGCGCUACUAGAGCGGCUGAUGGCAGAUUAGGUAGUUGGUGGGAUAAAAGCUUACCAAGCCGACGAUCUGUAGCUGGUCUGAGAGGACGACCAGCCACACUGGGACUGAGACACGGCCCAGACUCCUACGGGAGGCAGCAGUGGGGAAUUUUGGACAAUGGGCGCAAGCCUGAUCCAGCAAUGCCGCGUGCAGGAUGAAGGCCUUCGGGUUAUAAACUGCUUUUGUACGGAACGAAAAGCCCUCUUCUAAUACAGGAGGGUCAUGACGGUACCGUAAGAAUAAGCACCGGCUAACUACGUG